This 253-nucleotide ribosomal RNA is filed under the name uncultured bacterium. RNAcentral describes it as "partial 16S ribosomal RNA". It matches the Rfam family "Bacterial small subunit ribosomal RNA", at positions 524 to 776 of the family's 1533-position model. The record is from RNAcentral.
CACGUACCGGACGAACGUUAUUCGGAAUCACUGGGCUUAAAGAGUCCGUAGGCGGCUCGGUAGGUGAGGUGUGAAAUCCCACGGCUCAACCGUGGAACUGCGCUUCAAACCACCGGGCUUGAGGGAGAUAGAGGUGAGCGGAACUGAUGGUGGAGCGGUGAAAUGCGUUGAUAUCAUCAGGAACACCGGUGGCGAAAGCGGCUCACUGGGUCUCUUCUGACGCUGAGGGACGAAAGCUAGGGGAGCGAACGGG